AAUACAGAGGGGGCAAGCGUUGUUCGGAAUUACUGGGCGUAAAGGGCGCGUGGGCGGCCCGCUAAGUCGAACGUGAAAUCCCCGAGCUCAACUCGGGAACUGCGUCCGAUACUGGCGGGCUUGAAUCCGGGAGAGGGAUGCGGAAUUCCAGGUGUAGCGGUGAAAUGCGUAGAUAUCUGGAGGAACACCGGUGGCGAAGGCGGCAUCCUGGACCGGCAUUGACGCUGAGGCGCGAAAGCUAGGGGAGCAAACGG
RNAcentral lists this ribosomal RNA (254 nucleotides) under uncultured prokaryote. Its description in RNAcentral is "partial 16S ribosomal RNA". It matches the Rfam family "Bacterial small subunit ribosomal RNA", at positions 522 to 775 of the family's 1533-position model. The record is from RNAcentral.